RNAcentral lists this long non-coding RNA (1088 nucleotides) under Homo sapiens (human). RNAcentral's name for it is "non-protein coding lnc-SPATA32-2:16". Lineage: Eukaryota; Metazoa; Chordata; Mammalia; Primates; Hominidae. The record is from RNAcentral.
GCUGGGCCCGCCAAGGUGGUCCCAAGGAGGAGUGGGGGGUUGCGGAAAGGAGGAUGAGAGCCAGCCACAAGGCUGGAAAAGGAGUGGGCACCGCAGAGGAGGGAAAAAGAAUCUUGACACUGUCACCGCCAGGGAUCUAGGGGGGCCUCUUACCUUGGAGAAUAACAAUCUCUGAUGUCUGCUAAUUACAGAAAUACUUUCAGAGCUCUUUCAUUCAUCCUGACAAUGGCCAGAGAAGGUAGGUAUUGGUAGCCUUAUUUUAGAGAUGGGGAAACUGAGGCUGAGAGUAGGUAAGUAAGCUGUCCAAGGGCACUCAGCUAACAAAGGACAGAAGCAAGCCUCCUCACUGUCUACCUCCAAAACCUACACUGGCUUGGAGUUGCUGUCCUGGCCCUCCACUGCCCAUCUCAUGUAGGACGGGAGAGUAUGGGGGGCUGGGGUCCCAUCUAUAGCCUGAAUUUGAGACUUUCAGUUGCUCCUCUCAUUCCCCAUUUAAUUUGUGGGGAUCCCCAACUGACCCCUCCCUACACUUCCAGGGCACUGAGGAGGGAGGGCCCGCUGAAGGAGCCCCGAAUUAUCUCUAGGCCAGGUCAGGAGCCAUUAGUGUCCCCUCCCCUGACAGCAUCCUCCUCCUUCUGCCCUCACAUUCAGAGCCACUGACAAGACUUUAAGCAAGAGACGGAGAGUUAACAUCUAAUCUGGAGGAAGACCCUGGAAGGAGCCAGCCCCUUCCCCCAGGCUGACCUGGUUUAAGCCUUUCUUCUGCCAAGGUCACCAGCACCCCAGAUGGGUGAGAGAUGUGAUCACUGGUUUCGUGGCCUGACCAAGGACCUCCAAGGAGGUAUCUUUCCCAUCUUGGCCCACAGAGGAGGAAAUCCUAGAAGGGAUGACUGAAGCUUGGGACUAACACAUUGGUGGAUCUGUGCUACCCCCUGCUGGCCGUAGACGGUAUGACAGCCAAGAUAGGGCAAGGCUUCGAGGGGCGAUGGAUGGAUUCACCGCAGCGGCGACAUUUCUGGACUGUUGUCACCUUCAGUGCAGUCACUGGGAAUAUUCAGAACCCAGGUGAUUGAUAAGGUUUUCCCAGG